AUAUUAAAUCAUAACUUAGUUAAUAUUUAAUAGAGAUACGUUUCAUUUGUGAAUGAAAUAUUUUCCAUUUUAUACACAAGAAAAAUUAUGAUAAAUUAAAAAUUACAUUUUUAUUAAAUGAAAUUAAAGUACAAUUAUAAUAUUAGUAAUUCAAAUAAAAUUAGGUGUAAUUUGCAUCACUACAGUUAAUAAUAUAUCCCAACUAGGUUGACACCUACUGAACCAUCUAUCAUUUGCAAAUUUACAACCUUCUCACUAAUAAAAAUUGUUUCAAAAAGUUAUAAGAAAAAAAAAUCUCUAGUCUUUGGAAGUGGCUUCAAUGUUCAGUACUCUGCAUAAUCUGGAUCCACUUCAUCUUGAUCAACAUUCAAACUCUCAAUUUGUUUAAUUAAAGCAUUUUGUCAAUCUUGUUGCACUCGGCGUUCAGCAUCUUCCCAAUCUUUCAAACACAACAAAGAGUCUAAUGUCUCUGAUGACAAUCUUGACCGAUGUUCAUCUAGAAAUUAAUUAUUAUAAUGAUUAUUCGAGGAUUGUAUUUUUAAUUUUAAUUAAUUAUUAUUAUGAUCUAUGGAAUUAAAUUUAAUUAAAUUUAUGUAUUGUUGUGUUAUGAAUUAUGAUUGAUUAUUGUGAAAUAAAAUAUAUAGUUGUGAAAUUGUGAUAAACUAAUAAUAAAAUGUUAAUUGCUCUCUUAAUAAAAAUUAAUAUGAUUAUGAAUAUUAUUAUUAUUAUUAUUAUGUUGGUGGGCUUAAAAAAGCACAUCAGGCACGUGGGCUUAAAUAAAGCACGCUAGGCACGUGGGCUUUUUUAGGCAAGCUAAAAAAAAAAAAAGUUGGCACGGCACGAGAGGGCUCGUGCCGUGGGCCGUGCCGGGCUCAACUAAAAAAAAUUUAGGCACGGCACGGCACGGCACGGCCCAUUGGCCAUAGUUAGAAGUUCCCGCUCGAACCGAGAGGCACAGGUUCUCCCAACAAAUGCGACUUCCCUGCGACUCGAACUGGGGAGCAAACCCAAUCAAGCCACUUAAAGGGACUUCAUUGCCAGUGGAGGCCAACACUUUGUUGAUAGAUGAUUACAUAUUUUACAACAUGAGAUCUAGUAUAAAUUUAGAUGCACAUUUAAAUUUAGAAUUUACUCUCUUGAAAAUUUACUCUCACUAACAUCAAUCGAAGAAUAUCUAUCCAUAUUUCAUAGUAUGUGGAAGGGUAAAAUUACCCCAUACUAGUUGGAAUUGUUAAAUGCCUUCGUUAGAGAAUGCAUGCAGUAUCCACAUACUGUGAAACAUGAGAUCUAGUAUAAAUCUAGAUACAUAUUUAAGUUUAGAACUUAUUAUCUUGAAAAUUUAUUCUCACUAACAUCAAUUGAAGAAAAUCUAUCCAUAUUUCAUAGUAUGUGGAAGGGUAAAAAUGCCUCAUGCUCAUGGGAUUUAUUAAAUGCUUUCACUAGAGAAUAAUUAUAUAUAUAGGUCAUUUCUCUAUCCGCACGAAAUUGAAACGUGAAAUUUACUUUGAUUGUUGGUGAUCUAAUGUAUCUAAGGUUAAUUUAGCAAUAAGAGAGAGGGAAAAAAAAAGUAAAGAAUGAGAAAGUAUGCGUGUCCAAUUUAAAUACUUGGUAAUCUUAGGGGGAUUUAGUAUGAAGCACACUUCAAAAAUUCUUGAGAGCGAAUUCUAUCUAUUUAUUGACAUUUAUCCUUAUCCUGCCGGGAUAUAUAUAUAUAUACCAUGCCCAAUUGCCUUGAACAUUUUACGUUACAAUGAAGCUUGAAUUUUAUUAUGAAUCAUCAAAAAUAUUCCUAAAUAAUUUUUAUGAUAAAACAUAAUAAACACUGUGUAGUCAAAUCAAUGCAUUUAUCCACCGAGUCUAUAUGGUUUUCAUACCACCAUCAAAGAGUAAUGCCAUACAACUUCCAAGUGCUAUGUUAACCUUUAUAAUUUCAAAUGAAGUGAUAUUCAUGCAAUAAAUAAAUUUAUAAUAUGUGAUAUUGAUUAUUUUGAUAAAUGAAUGCGAUAUUAGGAUUUGGGAUGAUAAUAUUUAAAUACUACACUUAACGUUAAUUAGAGCCUCAGAGGUGUUGUAGGGUGCCAGAUUUGACCUCGACCGCAAACCGACAUCGUUCAUGGGCCUCAACUACGUCAGGUGGUCCAUAAUCCUCAGUUGGGCCUAAGCCAGUUGCUUGCUUCAGCCUAAGCUUUCUCAAACGAUUGCCCUAUCCUCACACUCGUUUUAAUCCCAAAAAAAAGGGAAUGUAAAUUUAUUUUAUUGUGGGAUAUUAUUAAAUAUUCAUCCAGUAUUUUUCCUACUUAUCAAUUUACUACUAUGAUUUUUGAAUAACUAUAUUUUAUCACUUGAUAUUUCAAUUUGUUAUAGCUUACCACCAAAUUGUUAAAAGAUUAUUUGUAUCCCUUGAACUAUUUAAAUGUGUGGAAAAAUAAUUUUCUCCUCUAAAAUUAAAAAAAAAAAAACAAACAAAACUGAGGGUCUUAGAAAAAAAAAUUAGAUGUAGUUGAACCGGAAGUCUCUAUGUAAAGGAACAAGAAAAUGUUUUUUUUUAUCGAAUUUCUAGGACAAAAAUUAUGGUUUCAAAGUCAUUUAGUUCAAUUCAAUCUGCAAUGAAAUGAACCGUUUUUAUUAUGUUUAAGAAAUCUUUGAACUAAUUGGAUCUUGUCCACCGAAUCAAACAGUUCACAAGAUCAAUAUAUAAGCUUUUUGACUCCUAACAUGGUUGAAGUAUUGAUAUUGACACAAAAUUAAUUGCAAUCUUCUCUUUUGUUGGAUACCCUAAUCAAUUAGUUCAAAAAAAUGAGUUUAUGGAUCAACUUUCAUAAGGUAUAUUUUGUAAACAUUUAAAUUUAAGUUUGUUUUAAGUAGAUUGCACAAUUUUGAUUUGUUUAACUUUCAUAUAUGUGGUUUCAACAUGAAGAACAUUUAGGCAAUGAAGAUUAUACUUUUAUUUAUUAAUUAAUACGUGUGAUUAUCAAUGUGAUAUCAUGCACUCUCUUUAAUUUUUUUUUAUUUUUAAUUAUUAGUGUUUGGUUAAUAGCUCACUUUGAGAGAUAAUAUAGGUAUUAUGGAUGUGAAAGUAGAGGGAUUAAGAAAUUGUUAUUGGGAGAGUGCUUAAUACGUAGCAGAAGAACUUUGAAAUUUCUUUUGUAAUUUGUAGUGAAUUUUUAUAUUAUUAUUGGACUAUAUUAUGUUAUUU
RNAcentral lists this long non-coding RNA (3196 nucleotides) under Citrus x clementina. Its description in RNAcentral is "Citrus clementina (C. clementina) long non-coding RNA (CCLE_LNC003869)". The record is from RNAcentral. Lineage: Eukaryota; Viridiplantae; Streptophyta; Magnoliopsida; Sapindales; Rutaceae.